GAUGAUCACAGAUUCAUAGAUGCUCAAGCCGCACACGUGUCCGACCACUACGGAUAUCAGGAUCAAUCUCGAUCUGAUCUUCUCGUUGUAGAAUCUUCUUCUCAAGAAGAAUCUUAGGUUUGAAAUCUUAGACCAACAUCUUGAUUUUGGACCGUGCGAUUAACUCUUUGAUCUGCAAUCUUCUUCUUCUUCUUCUCGAUCUUCAUUCUUGAAGAUAAAAUAGCAUCACCUCUUGGCAUGUGAAAAGGGGACGUCCAACUCUUGGGUGUGGAAGAGAAGAGAGGGAGGAG
This 290-nucleotide long non-coding RNA is filed under the name Elaeis guineensis (African oil palm). RNAcentral describes it as "long non-coding RNA (EGUI_LNC047402)". The record is from RNAcentral. Lineage: Eukaryota; Viridiplantae; Streptophyta; Magnoliopsida; Arecales; Arecaceae.